UCCAACGCACAUACAAACGUGAGUGCGCUCAACCUCAUUGGAUAUCGGAAGCUAAGCAGGUUGAAAGCCUGGUUCGUUCUUGGAUGGGUGACCACUAGGGAUUUCCAGGUGUUGUAGGCU
RNAcentral lists this ribosomal RNA (120 nucleotides) under Petromyzon marinus (sea lamprey). Lineage: Eukaryota; Metazoa; Chordata; Hyperoartia; Petromyzontiformes; Petromyzontidae. The record is from RNAcentral.